UCCCCUAGUAACUGCGAGUGAAGCGGGAAAAGCUCAAAUUUAAAAUCUGGCGGUCUCCGGCCGUCCGAGUUGUAAUCUAGAGAAGUGUUAUCCGCGCUGGACCGUGUACAAGUCUCCUGGAAUGGAGCGUCAUAGAGGGUGAGAAUCCCGUCUUUGACACGGACUGCCAGGGCUUUGUGAUGCGCUCUCAAAGAGUCGAGUUGUUUGGGAAUGCAGCUCAAAAUGGGUGGUAAAUUCCAUCUAAAGCUAAAUAUUGGCGAGAGACCGAUAGCGAACAAGUACCGUGAGGGAAAGAUGAAAAGAACUUUGGAAAGAGAGUUAAACAGUACGUGAAAUUGCUGAAAGGGAAACGCUUGAAGUCAGUCGCGUUGGCCGGGGAUCAACCUUGCUUUUGCUGGGCGUACUUUCCGGUUGAUGGGUCAGCAUCAAUUUUGAUUGUUGGAUAAAGUCUUGGGGAAUGURGCAUCUUAGGAUGUGUUAUAGCCCUUGGUCGCAUACAACRGUUGGGAUUGAGGAACUCAGCACGCCGCAAGGCCGGGUAUUUAUACCACGUUCGUGCUUAGGAUGCUGGCAUAAUGGCUUUAAUCGACCCGUCUUGAAACACGGACCAAGGAGUCUAACAUGCCUGCGAGUGUUUGGGUGGAAAACCCGAACGCGCAAUGAAAGUGAAAGUUGAGAUCCCUGUCGUAGGGAGCAUCGACGCCCGGACCAGACCUUUUGUGACGGAUCCGCGGUAGAGCAUGUAUGUUGGGACCCGAAAGAUGGUGAACUAUGCCUGAAUAGGGUGAAGCCAGAGGAAACUCUGGUGGAGGCUCGUAGCGAUUCUGACGUGCAAAUCGAUCGUCAAAUUUGGGUAUAGGGGCGAAAGACUAAUCGAAYCAUCUAGUAGCUGGUUCCUGCCGAGUUU
RNAcentral lists this ribosomal RNA (907 nucleotides) under Psathyloma leucocarpum. RNAcentral describes it as "eukaryotic LSU rRNA". It matches the Rfam family "Eukaryotic large subunit ribosomal RNA", at positions 76 to 968 of the family's 3401-position model. Lineage: Eukaryota; Fungi; Basidiomycota; Agaricomycetes; Agaricales; Hymenogastraceae. The record is from RNAcentral.